This 439-nucleotide ribosomal RNA is filed under the name uncultured bacterium. Its description in RNAcentral is "partial 16S ribosomal RNA". It matches the Rfam family "Bacterial small subunit ribosomal RNA", at positions 339 to 795 of the family's 1533-position model. The record is from RNAcentral.
CUACGGGAGGCAGCGGUGAGGAAUAUUGCACAAUGGGGGGAACCCUGAUGCAGCAACGCCGCGUGGAGGAUGACGCAUUUCGGUGUGUAAACUCCUUUUAUAUGUCAAGAAAAUGACGGUAACAUAUGAAUAAGCACCGGCUAACUCCGUGCCAGCAGCCGCGGUAAUACGGAGGGUGCAAGCGUUACUCGGAAUCACUGGGCGUAAAGGACGCGUAGGCGGGUUGGAAAGUCAGGUGUGAAAUCCUACAGCUUAACUGUAGAACUGCACUUGAAACUUCUAAUCUAGAGUAUGGGAGGGGGAGAUGGAAUUAGUGGUGUAGGGGUAAAAUCCGUAGAUAUCACUAGGAAUACCUAAAGCGAAGGCGAUCUCCUGGAACAUUACUGACGCUAAGGCGUGAAAGCGUGGGGAGCAAACAGGAUUAGAUACCCCAGUAGUC